GCGGGCGUGGUGAAAUUGGUAGACACACGAGACUUAAAAUCUCGCGGCGGCAACGCCUUGCCGGUUCAAGUCCGGCCGCCCGCACCA
RNAcentral lists this transfer RNA (87 nucleotides) under Hyphomicrobiales bacterium. RNAcentral describes it as "tRNA-Leu". It matches the Rfam family "tRNA". From Rfam's summary of the family: Transfer RNA (tRNA) molecules are approximately 80 nucleotides in length. Their secondary structure includes four short double-helical elements and three loops (D, anti-codon, and T loops). Further hydrogen bonds mediate the characteristic L-shaped molecular structure. tRNAs have two regions of fundamental functional importance: the anti-codon, which is responsible for specific mRNA codon recognition, and the 3' end, to which the tRNAs corresponding amino acid is attached (by aminoacyl-tRNA synthetases). tRNAs cope with the degeneracy of the genetic code in two manners: having more than one tRNA (with a specific anti-codon) for a particular amino acid; and 'wobble' base-pairing, i.e. permitting non-standard base-pairing at the 3rd anti-codon position. The record is from RNAcentral. Lineage: Bacteria; Pseudomonadati; Pseudomonadota; Alphaproteobacteria; Hyphomicrobiales.